RNAcentral lists this ribosomal RNA (253 nucleotides) under uncultured bacterium. Its description in RNAcentral is "partial 16S ribosomal RNA". It matches the Rfam family "Bacterial small subunit ribosomal RNA", at positions 524 to 776 of the family's 1533-position model. The record is from RNAcentral.
UACGGAGGGUGCAAGCGUUAUCCGGAUUUACUGGGUUUAAAGGGUGCGUAGGCGGCUUUGUAAGUCAGUGGUGAAAUAUGGCAGCUCAACUGUCAGGGUGCCAUUGAUACUGCAGAGCUUGAGUACAGAUGAGGUAGGCGGAAUUGACGGUGUAGCGGUGAAAUGCUUAGAUAUCGUCAAGAACACCGAUAGCGAAGGCAGCUUACUGGGCUGUAACUGACGCUGAGGCACGAAAGUGUGGGGAUCAAACAGG